UUUCCAACACCUUUUUAUGGAUUCGCGC
RNAcentral lists this small RNA (28 nucleotides) under Bombyx mori (domestic silkworm). RNAcentral describes it as "ovarian small RNA-38283". Lineage: Eukaryota; Metazoa; Arthropoda; Insecta; Lepidoptera; Bombycidae. The record is from RNAcentral.